UUUAUCGUCAUCUUAGGCUUUACUGUGCUAGGGUUUUGAAGGUAAUAAUUCUUCAAAAAGGUACGAAUAGUUAGCAAUGAAUCCGGCUCACUUCCAAUACGCGCCGCCGCCACAUUGGUUCCCAAUGUUACCGCCGGAACCACCGAAUACGAGUACAUUUUGGGCGACCAGAAAUGUGCGUGAUCGCCUUUGUGAAUUGCAAGAUACUCUCAAUCUUGCAAAUGCGGUGCAAAAGGAGCUGGAGGUACUGACGAUGAUAAAAAAUGGGUCGAUGGACCCUUCUGUUUCCGAGUUCUUGAAGUAUCUGGAAGAUAGGGGGAUUGACUUGGAAACUCAAGAAUUACUUUCUAUGGAAGCAGCGAAUGCUUUGAUGUCAAAGCUAAGAGCUCAGUUAGAGCCCUUCAGAUAUGUCUCGGAUGAAGCGACCCGGUGGGAGGAGAAAUCAGCUGUAGCUAAACUGACCAAUAAAAUUAAGAAGUAUAAAAGGAAUAAACUUUGGAGGAAAAGGAAGCGAAAACGAAUUGCAGAAUCGCUUGCUAAGGAGCAUGAACGAUUUGAUCAAGCUGAUCGAGAAGCUGAUGAAUGGAGAGCCAGGGAGAUUGCCAAGGACGUUGCAAGCCGCAAGGUGGAAAAGAUGAAGGAAAUAGCAAAGCUUAAAGCCAAGGAAGAAAAAAGGAGACUAGAAUCUGAGCUUGAGCUAGUUCUGAUGGUGGAGAAGUUGCAAGAGUUGCGCUCCAUGAGGAUCCAGAAAUUGACGAAACAGGGCCAUUUUCUCCCAGAGGAAGAUGACAAGUUUCUUGAGAAAGUUCGAGCUGCAGUUGAGGAAGAGGAGAGACAAGCUUUGGCUGCAGCUGAUACAGAUGCUGCUAAAGAUGCCAUUGCAACUGCCGAGGAAACUAGGAAGGCAACUCAGACUCAAAGGCCCAUCUCAAAAGAUCUUAUCAGCAAUCAGCCUGAAAACAAUGAGAGCAAAGAUCAAAUAGCACCAAAUGAGGAUGAAAAGGACUCUACUGCAGUCACUGUUAAGGAAUCUGGCAAAAGUAUAGUAGAGGGACAUGGUUAUUCUGGGGCAUAUGAUUCUUUGACCAAUUAACCGAUCGAGUUCUAUCACUAUUACCAUGGAAGCAAUUCUGAUAUGGGCACACUCAUCGAGGUUAGAAGGACAUGGGAUGCUUAUAUCAGACCUGGAGGAAGCCGCAUACCAGGCAACUGGGUUCAGCCACCUCCUCCUGCUGAUGAGAUAUGGGCAUCCUACCUGGUAAGGCCUAAAUGAAACCCUAGUUUUCAAAGUUCUAUAGAUCAUACAAUUACAGCAGUAGCUAUUUUGAACUUCUAAACAUUAAAAGCUGUUCUUAUUUUCUUUAUAGUUUUUCCUAUUUCUCAACCUCUUUUAGUUCUUUCAUGUUUCUUAAGAGAUUAUACUUCUAUUGACCGUUGUAGAUAAAGAAGU
Hibiscus syriacus is the source of this 1450-nucleotide RNA transcript. It is a transcript of the gene named U11/U12 small nuclear ribonucleoprotein 59 kDa protein, with no coding region annotated. NCBI's taxonomy places the organism in Eukaryota, Viridiplantae, Streptophyta, Magnoliopsida, Malvales, Malvaceae. The transcript has 9 exons. The record is from RefSeq and is a predicted model, not a curated record.